GAUCCUGGGUUCAAAUCCCAGCGGGG
Molecule: non-coding RNA, 26 nt
Filed under: Cricetulus griseus (Chinese hamster)
Lineage: Eukaryota; Metazoa; Chordata; Mammalia; Rodentia; Cricetidae
Source: RNAcentral